CACGUAGGGGACGAGCGUUGUCCGGAUUCAUUGGGCGUAAAGCGCGCGUAGGCGGCUCGGAAAGUCGGUCGUGAAAUGCCGGGGCUCAACCCCGGGACUGCGUCCGAUACUCCCGAGCUGGAGGCAGGUAGGGGAGAUCGGAAUUCCUGGUGUAGCGGUGAAAUGCGCAGAUAUCAGGAGGAACACCGGUGGCGAAGGCGGUUCUCUGGGCCUUACCUGACGCUGAGGAGCGAAAGCGUGGGGAGCAAACAGG
RNAcentral lists this ribosomal RNA (253 nucleotides) under uncultured bacterium. Its description in RNAcentral is "partial 16S ribosomal RNA". It matches the Rfam family "Bacterial small subunit ribosomal RNA", at positions 524 to 776 of the family's 1533-position model. The record is from RNAcentral.